AUGCGGCGAGCGAGCUGGAUGUCCUUGGGCAUGAUGGUGACGCGCUUGGCGUGGAUGGCGCAGAGGUUGGUGUCCUCGAACAGCCCCACCAGGUACGCCUCGGCGGCCUCCUGCAGCGCCGACACGGCGGAGCUCUGGAACCGGAGGUCCGUCUUGAAGUCCUGCGCGAUCUCCCGCACCAGGCGCUGGAAGGGGAGCUUGCGGAUGAGCAGCUCCGUGCUCUUCUGGUACUUGCGGAUCUCGCGCAGCGCGACGGUGCCCGGGCGGAACCGGUGCGGCUUCUUCACGCCGCCGGUGGCCGGCGCCGACUUGCGCGCCGCCUUGGUGGCCAGCUGCUUCCGCGGCGCCUUGCCGCCCGUCGACUUGCGCGCCGUCUGCUUCGUGCGGGCCAUCGGAGCCGCGCGGGGGCUGCCGGGGGACUGCGGUGGGGGAUUCUUGGGAGGGAGCGGGGGCGGUGCGGCUGGCUGA
RNAcentral lists this ribosomal RNA (468 nucleotides) under Triticum aestivum (bread wheat). Its description in RNAcentral is "partial small subunit ribosomal RNA". Lineage: Eukaryota; Viridiplantae; Streptophyta; Magnoliopsida; Poales; Poaceae. The record is from RNAcentral.